AUUACUUAAAAUUUCCUGUCUAGUAUUUUAUUUUGUAAAUAAAAGUUUAAUAAGGAAUA
RNAcentral lists this transfer RNA (59 nucleotides) under Romanomermis nielseni. Its description in RNAcentral is "tRNA-Thr". The record is from RNAcentral. Lineage: Eukaryota; Metazoa; Nematoda; Enoplea; Mermithida; Mermithidae.